RNAcentral lists this ribosomal RNA (497 nucleotides) under uncultured bacterium. RNAcentral describes it as "partial 16S ribosomal RNA". It matches the Rfam family "Bacterial small subunit ribosomal RNA", at positions 28 to 507 of the family's 1533-position model. The record is from RNAcentral.
GAUGAACGCUGGCGGCGUGCCUAAUACAUGCAAGUCGAGCGAACAGAUAAGGAGCUUGCUCCUUUGACGUUAGCGGCGGACGGGUGAGUAACACGUGGGUAACCUACCUAUAAGACUGGAAUAACUCCGGGAAACCGGGGCUAAUGCCGGAUAACAUGUUGAACCGCAUGGUUCUACAGUGAAAGGCGGCUUUGCUGUCACUUAUAGAUGGACCCGCGCCGUAUUAGCUAGUUGGUGAGGUAACGGCUCACCAAGGCAACGAUACGUAGCCGACCUGAGAGGGGGAUAGGCCACAUUGGAACUGAGCCAGGGUCAAGAGUCCUACGGGAGGCAGCAGUAGGGAAUCUUCCGCAAUGGGCGAAAGCCUGACGGAGCAACGCCGCGUGAGUGAUGAAGGUCUUCGGAUCGUAAAACUCUGUUAUUAGGGAAGAACAAAUGCGUAAGUAACUGUGCGCGUCUUGACGGUAACUAAUCAGAAAGCCACGGCUAACUACGUG